RNAcentral lists this ribosomal RNA (279 nucleotides) under uncultured bacterium. RNAcentral's name for it is "partial 16S ribosomal RNA". It matches the Rfam family "Bacterial small subunit ribosomal RNA", at positions 506 to 784 of the family's 1533-position model. The record is from RNAcentral.
UGCCAGCCGCCGCGGUAAUACGGAGGGUGCAAGCGUUGUUCGGAAUUAUUGGGUGUAAAGCGCGUGUAGGCGGUUCGUUAAGUCUGAUGUGAAAGCCCGGGGCUCAACCCCGGAAGUGCAUUGGAAACUGGCGAGCUUGAGUACGGCAGAGGUUAGUGGAAUUCAAUGUGUAGCGGUGGAAUGCGUAGAUAUAUUGAGGAACACCAGUGGCGAAGGCGAGUCUCUGGCACGAUUCUGACGCUGAGGCGCGAAAGCUAGGGGAGCGAACGGGAUUAGAUA